GACGAACGCUGGCGGCGUGCCUAAUACAUGCAAGUAGAACGCACAGUUUAUACCGUAGCUUGCUACACCAUAGACUGUGAGUUGCGAACGGGUGAGUAACGCGUAGGUAACCUGCCUGGUAGCGGGGGAUAACUAUUGGAAACGAUAGCUAAUACCGCAUAAUAUUGAUUAUUGCAUGAUAAUUGAUUGAAAGAUGCUAUUGCAUCACUACCAGAUGGACCUGCGUUGUAUUAGCUAGUAGGUGAGGUAACGGCUCACCUAGGCGACGAUACAUAGCCGACCUGAGAGGGUGAUCGGCCACACUGGGACUGGGACCCGGCCCAGACUCCUACGGGAGGCAGCAGUAGGGAAUCUUCGGCAAUGGACGAAAGUCUGACCGAGCAACGCCGCGUGAGUGAAGAAGGUUUUCGGAUCGUAAAGCUCUGUUGUAAGAGAAGAACGGGUGUGAGAGUGGAAAGUUCACACUGUGACGGUAUCUGACCAGAAAGGGACGGCUAACUACGUG
Molecule: ribosomal RNA, 505 nt
Filed under: uncultured bacterium
Lineage: Bacteria
Description: partial 16S ribosomal RNA
Rfam family: Bacterial small subunit ribosomal RNA
Source: RNAcentral